GAUUAAGUUUAAAUUUAUUUUAUUUAUUUUUAUAUUUUUUAUUUAAAAUAAUUUUUUUUUUUAAUAUUUUAUAAAGAAAAAAUAAAAUUUUAUAUAGUUUAUUAAUAUAGUAAUAAAAAUUUAUUUUUAUUUUAUAAGUAUAAUUUAAUUUAGUACCUUUUGUAUCAGGGUUUAUUAAAAUAAAUUAAUUAAUUUAAUUUUCUCGAUUUUAUAAGAGAUAAAUUUAUAUAAUAGUUUUUGUUUCAUAACAAUUAUAAAUAUAAAUUUUGUUGUAAAAAGUUAAUCGAUUAUAAAUAUAUCUAGUUUUAAAAGAAAUAAAUUUAAUUUAAUAUAUUUGUUUUAAUUAAAAUAUUAUAAUUUUAAUUAUAUAAAUAUUUAAAUAUUAUUAGGGAUAAGCUAAAUAAUAAUUUUAUAAUAUAAAUUUAUUAAAUAAAUGUAGAAUUAGAAAUUUUUAACAUUAAAAAAUUUGUUAUAAUUUAUAUUUUUAUAAAAAGAAUUUUUUAUUAUUUAAUUGAGUUAUUUUAAUAUUGUUUGUAAUUAAUAUAAAUUAGAAAUUAUGAUAAAAUUAGUAUUAUUUAAUAAAUAUUAUAUAAUUAUUUUUAGAUUAUAUAAAGUAACUCGGCAAAUUUUAUUUUUACCUGUUUAUCAAAAACAUGUCUUUUUGAAAAUAAUUUAAAGUCUGACCUGCCCACUGAAUUUAUUUAAAGGGCCGCAGUAUAUUGACUGUGCUAAGGUAGCAUAAUCACUUGUUUUUUAAUUGAAAACUAGAAUGAAUGGUUUGAUAAAAAAUAAACUGUCUCUGUAUAAAAAUUAUAAAAAUUUAAAUUUUUAGUUAAAAUGCUAAAAUUAUAAUAAAAGACGAGAAGACCCUAUAGAUCUUUAUAAUUUAGUUAAUUAAUAUUUUUUAUUUUUAUAAAUAUCUUAAUUAAUUUGAUUAUUUAAUUGGGGUGAUUAAAAAAUUAAAUAAACUUUUUUAUUUGUUUAAUAUUAGUUAAUAAAUAAUUGAUCCUUUAUUAAGAUUAUUAGAUUAAGUUACCUUAGGGAUAACAGCGUAAUUUUUUUGGGGAGUUCAUAUCUAUAAAAAAGAUUGCGACCUCGAUGUUGAAUUAAAGUUAGUUUUAGGAGUAGAAAUUUAAAAUUUUAGUCUGUUCGACUAUUUAACUUUACAUGAUUUGAGUUCAGACCGGCGUAAGCCAGGUUAGUUUCUAUCUUUAUUUUAUUAUAAUUUUUUAGUACGAAAGGACCAAAUAUUAUAAAAAUUUUAUUUAAAAUGAAUAUUAUUAAUUUAUAAA
Molecule: ribosomal RNA, 1292 nt
Filed under: Conwentzia sinica
Lineage: Eukaryota; Metazoa; Arthropoda; Insecta; Neuroptera; Coniopterygidae
Description: 16S ribosomal RNA
Source: RNAcentral